GGGCCCGCACAAGCGGUGGAGUAUGUGGUUUAAUUCGAUGCAACGCGAAGAACCUUACCAGGGUUUGACAUCCUGCGAAUCUCUUGGAAACGAGAGAGUGCCUUCGGGAGCGCAGUGACAGGUGGUGCAUGGCUGUCGUCAGCUCGUGUCGUGAGAUGUUGGGUUAAGUCCCGCAACGAGCGCAACCCACGUCUUUAGUUGCCAGCAUUUAGUUGGGCACUCUAGAGAGACCGCCGGUGAUAAACCGGAGGAAGGUGUGGAUGACGUCAAGUCAUCAUGGCUCUUACGAGUAGGGCUACACGCGUGCUACAAUGGUUGGUACAACGGGUUGCCAAGCCGCGAGGUGGAGCUAAUCCUGUAAAGCCAAUCGUAGUCCGGAUUGGAGUCUGCAACUCGACUCCAUGAAGCUGGAAUCGCUAGUAAUCG
This 426-nucleotide ribosomal RNA is filed under the name uncultured bacterium. RNAcentral's name for it is "bacterial SSU rRNA". It matches the Rfam family "Bacterial small subunit ribosomal RNA", at positions 917 to 1344 of the family's 1533-position model. The record is from RNAcentral.